UGCGUGGGGGAACCUGACCGCCUGCCGCGUGAGUGAUGAAGGCCUUCGGGUUGUAAAGCUCUUUUGUGUGGGAAGAUAAUGACUGUACCACAAGAAUAAGCCCCGGCUAACUUCGUGCCAGCAGCCGCGGUAAUACGAAGGGGGCUAGCGUUGUUCGGAAUUACUGGGCGUAAAGGGUGCGUAGGUGGUUAUGUAAGUCAGAAGUGAAAGCCCUGGGCUCAACCCGGGAAUUGCUUUUGAAACUAUGUAGCUAGAGUUCGAGAGAGGUAAGUGGAAUAUCCAGUGUAGAGGUAAAAUUCGUAGAUAUUGGAUGGAACACCAGUGGCAAAGGCGGCUUACUGGCUCGAUACUGACACUGAGGCACGAAA
This 368-nucleotide ribosomal RNA is filed under the name uncultured bacterium. RNAcentral's name for it is "bacterial SSU rRNA". It matches the Rfam family "Bacterial small subunit ribosomal RNA", at positions 364 to 758 of the family's 1533-position model. The record is from RNAcentral.